AAACUUUCAACAACGGAUCUCUUGGCUCUGGCAUCGAUGAAAAACGCAGCGAAACGCGAUAAGUAAUGUGAAUUGCAGAAUCCAGUGAAUCAUCGAAUCUUUGAACGCACAUUGCGCCCGCCAGCAUUCUGGCGGGCAUGCCUGUUCGAGCGUCAUUU
This 158-nucleotide ribosomal RNA is filed under the name Beauveria bassiana. Its description in RNAcentral is "5.8S ribosomal RNA". It matches the Rfam family "5.8S ribosomal RNA". From Rfam's summary of the family: 5.8S ribosomal RNA (5.8S rRNA) is a component of the large subunit of the eukaryotic ribosome. It is transcribed by RNA polymerase I as part of the 45S precursor that also contains 18S and 28S rRNA. Lineage: Eukaryota; Fungi; Ascomycota; Sordariomycetes; Hypocreales; Cordycipitaceae. The record is from RNAcentral.